This 499-nucleotide ribosomal RNA is filed under the name uncultured bacterium. Its description in RNAcentral is "partial 16S ribosomal RNA". It matches the Rfam family "Bacterial small subunit ribosomal RNA", at positions 30 to 523 of the family's 1533-position model. The record is from RNAcentral.
AUUGAACGCUGGCGGCAUGCCUUACACAUGCAAGUCGAACGGCAGCACGGGAGCAAUCCUGGUGGCGAGUGGCGAACGGGUGAGUAAAGUGUCGGAACGUGCCCAGUCGUGGGGGAUAACGUAGCGACAGUUACGCUAAUACCGCAUACGAGCUAUGGAUGAAAGCGGGGGAUUGCCAGACCUUGCGUGAUUGGAGCGGCCGAUAUCAGAUUAGGUAGUUGGGGGGGUAAAGGCUCACCAAGCCGACGAUCUGUAGCUGGUCUGAGAGGACGACCAGCCACACUGGACUGUGACACGGCCUAGACUCCUACGGGAGGCAGCAGUGGGGAAUUUUGGACAUUGGGCGAAAGCCUGAUCCAGCCAUGCCGCGUGCAGGAUGAAGGCCUUCGGGUUGUAAACUGCUUUUGUACGGAACGAAAAGGUUUGGGCUAAUAAGCUGAGCUCAUGACGGUACCGUAAGAAUAAGCACCGGCUAACUACGUGCCAGCCGCCGCCGUAA